AGUAAUCCGUGCAAUACGACGGAUAGAUAAUUGAAGAAAAAAUAAAAAAAAUGACGACAAGAGAAAACAGCAAUGAAAGAAAUGGCUAUAAAGGAUGAGAUUCAUCUUGCCGAUGAAGGAAACUGAAGGAAGAGGAAGAAGAAUAGUUCGGUUCAUUGUAGAGGUGUAACCCGGUUCGGUUCAAGACAAAAAAAAAAAAGGUUGACCUGGUACGAUUUAAGUAAAGAAAGAGAGAAAUCAGAUUCAUUUCAAGCAAAAAAAGAAAAACAUGUAGAAGACGAGCCGGUUCGGGAGAGUCCAUACUUAGCAAUAAUCAGUUCGGUUCAAGCAAAAAAAGAAAAAAAUCCAGUUCGACUUAAGCAAAAAAAAAAAUGAAAACAUGUGGAGAAUCUCAGCCAGUUCUAAUUAGAGCCCACACUCAAUAAUGAAGGACAUGUUGUCAUUUGGCAAAUUUAAGAAGAAUAAUGUAUAGGUAUAGAUUAAUUAUUCCGCCUUUAUUAAUUAGGAGUAGUG
RNAcentral lists this long non-coding RNA (513 nucleotides) under Ananas comosus (pineapple). Its description in RNAcentral is "long non-coding RNA (ACOM_LNC016844)". The record is from RNAcentral. Lineage: Eukaryota; Viridiplantae; Streptophyta; Magnoliopsida; Poales; Bromeliaceae.